UGUGUACUCCCUCCGUCCGAAAAUACUUGUUGGAGGAAUGGAUGUAUCUCGACAUAUUUUAAUUCUAGAUACAUCCAUUUUUAUGCAUUUCUUCGACAAUUAUUUCCGGACGGAGGGAGUAUUUG
Non-coding RNA from Triticum aestivum (bread wheat), 125 nucleotides. The record is from Rfam. NCBI's taxonomy places the organism in Eukaryota, Viridiplantae, Streptophyta, Magnoliopsida, Poales, Poaceae.